RNAcentral lists this ribosomal RNA (469 nucleotides) under uncultured Spirochaeta sp. RNAcentral describes it as "bacterial SSU rRNA". It matches the Rfam family "Bacterial small subunit ribosomal RNA", at positions 916 to 1381 of the family's 1533-position model. Lineage: Bacteria; Pseudomonadati; Spirochaetota; Spirochaetia; Spirochaetales; Spirochaetaceae. The record is from RNAcentral.
GACGGGGCCCGCACAAGCGGUGGAGCAUGUGGUUUAAUUCGAUGGUACGCGAGGAACCUUACCAGGGCUUGACAUACGCCGGAAGCGCAUCGAAAGGUGCGUGCCGCUUGCGGCCGGCGUACAGGUGCUGCAUGGCUGUCGUCAGCUCGUGCUGUGAAGUGUUGGGUUAAGUCCCGCAACGAGCGCAACCCCCUGCUGCCUGUUGCCACCACGAGAGGUGGGGACUCAGGCGGGACCGCCGGUGACAAACCGGAGGAAGGUGGGGACGACGUCAAGUCAUCAUGGCCCUUAUGUCCUGGGCUACACACGUGCUACAAUGGCCGGUACAGAGCGCAGCGAGGCCGCGAGGCGGAGCGAAUCGCUUAAAGCCGGUCCCAGUACGGAUUGGAGUCUGCAACCCGACUCCAUGAAGUUGGAAUCGCUAGUAAUCGCGCAUCAGCAUGGCGCGGUGAAUACGUUCCCGGGCCUU